Molecule: ribosomal RNA, 664 nt
Filed under: Naegleria australiensis
Lineage: Eukaryota; Heterolobosea; Eutetramitea; Acrasida; Naegleriidae
Description: SSU rRNA
Rfam family: Eukaryotic small subunit ribosomal RNA
Source: RNAcentral
AUAUUAAUACUGCUGUAGUUAAAACGCCCGUAGUAUACCUAAGAGUGGGUGUGUAGUAAUUAGUUUUACCAGAGGACGGUUGGCGAGAGUUUAUCACUCUUGUUUGCCUACUUUUGGUAGACUUUAGUCGGGCUGGACCUUUGGUCCUCGUCUGACAGUUGCUACGUGCUUACUUACCACGGUUCAUCCGUGAGGCCCUUGGCUUGCAACUGUAAAUAAAUCGUUGUGCUUAAAGCGGGCUAUGAUACUCUGCCAGAGCGAUUUAGCAUGGGACUGCAGAGUAGCUGUAUUUGGGUGAAGGUUGUGUUUCGGUAUGGCUGGAGCCUGGUACAGCGCUUGUAAUGGAGCUCAGGGUGAGGCCCCGGGUACCAUGAGGCUAGAGGUGAAAUUCUGAGACCCUCAUGUGACCAACUAAGGCGAAAGCUGUCGUGGGCCACCACAAGCUCGUCUAUCAGGGACGAAAGUUGGGGGAUCGAAGACGAUUAGAUACCGUCGUAGUCCCAACUAUAAACGAUACCAACCGAGUAUUUGGGAAGACACUAUCCCAGCGAUCUUCUCAGAACUCAAGGGAAACCUUAAGUCUUUGGGUUCUGGGGGGAGUAUAGUCGCAAGACCGAAACUUAAAGGAAUUGACGGAAAGGCACCACCAGGAGUGGAGUCUGCG